UUGAUUUUAAUUAUUUGUGAACGGUACUACUAAUAACAAACAAUACAUAUCAUAGUCAAAAAAAAUAAUCA
This 71-nucleotide unclassified non-coding RNA is filed under the name soil metagenome. Its description in RNAcentral is "partial internal transcribed spacer 1". The record is from RNAcentral.